This 463-nucleotide ribosomal RNA is filed under the name uncultured bacterium. Its description in RNAcentral is "partial 16S ribosomal RNA". It matches the Rfam family "Bacterial small subunit ribosomal RNA", at positions 28 to 507 of the family's 1533-position model. The record is from RNAcentral.
GACGAACGCUGGCGGCGUGCUUAACACAUGCAAGUCGAACGGAAAGGCCUUUUCGGAGGUACUCGAGUGGCGAACGGGUGAGUAACACGUGGGUGAUCUGCCCUGCACUCUGGGAUAAGCCUGGGAAACUGGGUCUAAUACCGGAUAGGACCGCACUUUAGUGUGUGUGGUGGAAGGUUUUUUCGGUGUAGGAUGAGCCCGCGGCCUAUCAGCUUGUUGGUGGGGUAAUGGCCUACCAAGGCGGCGACGGGUAGCCGGACUGAGAGGUUGGUCGGCCACAUUGGGACUGAGAUACGGCCCAGACUCCUACGGGAGGCAGCAGUGGGGAAUAUUGCACAAUGGGCGCAAGCCUGAUGCAGCGACGCCGCGUGGGGGAUGACGGCCUUCGGGUUGUAAACUCCUUUCGCCAGGGACGAAGCGUUUUGUGACGGUACCUGGAGAAGAAGCACCGGCUAACUACGUG